AAGUACAUCUUCGGCUGCACUUCGGGUUUGACUUUCGUUCGGUGUGGAUCGACAACGCUUGUGAUUUUUGACGCGUGUGUUUUCUCGGGACCAGAGAAAAAGUGAGAAGUAUUUUUUCAACCGCAUAAAAAUCUGCGUUUUAUCGCUGUAUGUGCUUAAAACCCGGUGAAAUUCAGUAGUUGAGAUUCUCCGGAUCGUAAAUAUAGCAGGUGAAGUGUCGAUUUCGUUCGAUUUGGCAGAAUUUUUCCUGUUUUCCCCAAAAGCCGACAACCCGUAAUCAUGAGUGAAAAGGAGCACCAACAAAAUGGCGAUCACCAGAACGGAGAUGAGGAAAUCCGCGAGCCGGAACAUCUGCGGAAACUGUUCAUCGGCGGACUGGACUACCGUACCACCGACGAAACCCUGAAGGCCUACUUUGAAAAGUGGGGCAAAGUAGUGGACGUGGUCGUCAUGAAGGACCCCAAGACCAAGCGUAGCCGCGGGUUCGGUUUCAUCACGUACUCGAAGCCGUACAUGGUGGACGAAGCACAGAACAAGCGGCCGCACAAAAUCGAUGGCCGUGUGGUGGAACCGAAGCGGGCCGUUCCCCGACAGGACAUCAACCGUCCAGAGGCUGGUGCCUCCGUCAAGAAGCUGUUCGUUGGAGGACUGCGGGAUGAUUUCGACGAGGAGCACCUGCGCGACUACUUCGGUGCCUUUGGCAAUGUUAUUUCGGCUUGCAUUGUUACCGAUAAGGAGAAUGGCAAGAAGCGUGGUUUUGGAUUCGUUGAGUUUGACGACUAUGAUCCAGUGGACAAGAUCAUCCUACAAAAGAGCCACACCAUCCAGAACAAGAUGUUGGAUGUGAAGAAAGCGUUGCCCAAGCAGGAAAUGGAUCGGUACAAGACCGAUGCUGGCCGUGGAGGUGGUGCCGGUGGCGCCUGGGGUAGCCAGCAGCGCGGUGGAGGUCCGUCUCAAGGAUGGGGACAAGGCGGUGGCCGCGGAGCUGGUGGCUGGGGACAAAGCCAACGUGGUGGCCAAAAUGAAUGGGGCAGUGGCGGAUACCAGCAGCAGGGUGGAUUCAAUAACGGCGGCUACGGUAAUGGUGGCGGUUACAAUCAAGGAGGAAACUGGGGCGGACAAGGAGGAAACCCGUGGGACCAAAGCUGUGGCCAGCAGGGAGGCUGGGGCAAUCAGAGCGGCGGUUGGGGCCAAGGUGGCGGUAGCUUUGGAAAUGAGUUUGGCAAUAACUACCAACAGGGAUACAGUGCCGGUCCAAUGCGCACGGGUGGAUACCAGAAUCAACGGUCGGCACCAUACGGUAUGGAGUCGUACGACGGUAAUCAAGGUGGCUUCGGAGGAAGCGGUGGCGGCUACGGAAACGCUGGAGGCAACCGUCGGUAUUAAAUGAUUACCGAAAUACAAGCUAAAUGAGAGAGGCUGGGACGCACGCUCUAUUGUAGAAGGUUUUGCAAAGAACAGUGAGACAGAUUACAGGUCAGAAUCAGUCGAAUAGAGAGAAAAAUGAAGGUCAAAUAGGCGUGUGAGAAAUGAGAGGAAGAAGCCAAAAGAGGAAGGAGUAUGAAGAGAGUGCAGGAAGGAGAAGGACAAAGCAUUCGUAUUUGUUUUAUUAAGCUAACCAAGGAAGAGGAAACACAACCAGAAACACAAGUAUAUAGACAAAUCAUUCAACAGGAAGACGCAGACAGCAGCAGGAGGAUGAGAAGUGAUUUUUAUUGACAGAAGCAGAAGAAUCUUUAGUGAGAAGGAGAAUCCUUGAGGGUGUGAGAAGAAUUGGAGCAAAGAAGAGGAAGAAGAAGCAACCAGCAGCCAGGAUAAGAAACCAGUGUAAGAUGAAAUUGCAUAACCAUCUCAAAAGUACAAUCAGCGCGCAAAGACUACAACAGCAGAGCGAUAUAGUAAGAGCAGGUUAAUUUCUUGGGCUGAUGAUUAUAUCCCAUCAUACAUCUUCGUCGGCGUUCCUCACCCCCUCUAGGCUCACUUUCUGAGCUACCAGCCCAAGUCCAAGAAGAAUAUUAAGAAGGUUCUUCAUAUAACAAUAGAUCUCCGACCCCUUUUUAUCCUACUUAUAUUAGGAUAUGCGGGCAGCAAUUUUCCCUCUCACGCAAUUUUCUUCGUGUGCAAGAAUUUAUUGUUUUCAUUUUUUAUUGUAAUGCAGUAGUAAAACAUGCAGAAAAACAUUAAGCGAAAUCUAGUUCUAGAGAUAUUUAAUUUAAGAAUCAGUUGUAAGAGAAAUGUAUCUUUUCUCGCAAUAUACACAACACAUAAUAUUGAUUAUUAUAACAGAAAACAAAACAUAGUAAAGGAAUGCCUAGGUAAGCAAACAAACUCGUAAAAAUCGUCCAUCAAAGAGAAUAUACAAACACUUUAAAACAUACACAAACUAAAGAACUAAUUAGAUUGAGACUAGCGAAAAUCGACAGAUGGUAGUGCAGAACAUUUACCGAGGGAGGGAUAUCCGAGGGUUGGCUGAGAGCUUUAUCAUCUGUACAUAUUUUCGGAAUUCUCUUUCGAGCUUUAUAGUUUGAAUUUCCAUUUUCUCUGAAGUGAAAUUUCACCAGAAUUUUUCAUUUAUUUGCUGGUAAUAAUUCUAAAACCUUUACCGUGGGUUUCGAUUUACUUGUCUCUUUUCUUUCGUUAGAUUUUUAUUAAUUUAUUAUUCAGUUUGACUGAUAAUUUUUACCACGUUUUGUUCCUCUUCGCUUUCCCUGCUUCGUAGUCAGAAAAAAAAAAACAAAUUCAAUCAAUACAUGAGAUAGAAGUUACAAGCUGAGUAAAACAUUACCAAAUUUCCUCCGUUUGAGAGUCUCGUUGCGAGAAGGAUUCCUAGAAUUAGAGCAGUCAUGUGGAGUAGCUAAAAUAAAACAGUAAAGGAAACUGAACAAAAAAUAUCUGUACUAACAAGUAGAUGAGCAACUUAAGAUUUAAUCAACUAAAUGUUCAAAUCAAAUAAUUUUCAAGAUAGUAAAGGAAACAAGAAAGUAUAGUAAGAGAACAAAAACUCAAA
Aedes aegypti (yellow fever mosquito) is the source of this 3007-nucleotide RNA transcript. It is a transcript of the gene named heterogeneous nuclear ribonucleoprotein 87F, with no coding region annotated. The transcript has 5 exons. Lineage: Eukaryota; Metazoa; Arthropoda; Insecta; Diptera; Culicidae. The record is from RefSeq and is a predicted model, not a curated record.